This is a long non-coding RNA of Oncorhynchus keta (chum salmon), 719 nucleotides long. RefSeq lists it as uncharacterized. NCBI's taxonomy places the organism in Eukaryota, Metazoa, Chordata, Actinopteri, Salmoniformes, Salmonidae. The transcript has 3 exons. The record is from RefSeq and is a predicted model, not a curated record.
CAGAGUCAAUGUGGAGGCUAUAUACAGGGGGUACCAGUACAGAGUCAAUGUGGAGGCUAUAUACAGGGGGUACCAGUACAGAGUCAAUGUGGAGGCUAUAUACAGGGGGUACCAGUACAGAGUCAAUGUGGAGGCUAUAUACAGGGGGUACUGGUACAGAGUCAAUGUGGAGGCUAUAUACAGGGGGUACCAGUACAGAGUCAAUGUGGAGGCUAUAUACAGGGGGUACCGGUACAGAGUCAAUGUGGAGGCUAUAUACAGGGGGUACCAGUACAGAGUCAAUGUGGAGGUUAUAUACAGGGGGUACCGGUACAGAGUCAAUGUGGAGGCUAUAUACAGGGUAUUACGGUACAGAGUCAAUGUGGAGGCUAUAUACAGGGUAUUACGGUACAGAGUCAAUGUGGAGGCUAUAUACAGGGGGUACCAGUACAGAGUCAAUGUGGAGGCUAUAUACAGGGUAUUACGGUACAGAGUCAAUGUGGAGGCUAUAUACAGGGGGUACCAGUACAGAGUCAAUGUGGAGGCUAUAUACAGGGGGUACCAGUACAGAGUCAAUGUGGAGGCUAUAUACAGGGGGUACCAGUACAGAGUCAAUGUGGAGGCUAUAUACAGGGGGUACCAGUACAGAGUCAAUGUGGAGGCUAUAUACAGGGGGUACCGGUACAGAGUCAAUGUGGAGGCUAUAUACAGGGGGUACCAGUACAGAGUCAAUGUGGAGG